This 301-nucleotide ribosomal RNA is filed under the name uncultured bacterium. RNAcentral describes it as "partial 16S ribosomal RNA". It matches the Rfam family "Bacterial small subunit ribosomal RNA", at positions 509 to 807 of the family's 1533-position model. The record is from RNAcentral.
CAGCAGCCGCGGUAAUACGGAGGGUGCAAGCGUUAAUCGGAAUUACUGGGCGUAAAGCGCACGCAGGCGGUUUGUUAAGUCAGAUGUGAAAUCCCCGAGCUUAACCUGGGAACUGCAUUUGAAACUGGCAGGCUAGAGUCUUGUAGAGGGGGGUAGAAUUCCAGGUGUAGCGGUGAAAUGCGUAGAGAUCUGGAGGAAUACCGGUGGCGAAGGCGGCCCCCUGGACAAAGACUGACGCUCAGGUGCGAAAGCGUGGGGAGCAAACAGGAUUAGAUACCCGUGUAGUCCCUGUCUCUUAUAC